This 624-nucleotide ribosomal RNA is filed under the name uncultured bacterium. RNAcentral's name for it is "bacterial SSU rRNA". It matches the Rfam family "Bacterial small subunit ribosomal RNA", at positions 9 to 644 of the family's 1533-position model. The record is from RNAcentral.
GAGUUUGAUCCUGGCUCAGGAUGAACGCUGGCGGCGCGCCUAACACAUGCAAGUCGAACGGUUAAGGCACCUUCGGGUGCAAAUAAAGUGGCGAACGGCUGAGUAACACGUGGGCAACCUGCCCCUCUCAUCGGGACAGCCUCGGGAAACCGUGGUUAAUACCGAAUACUCCGGGACCCCCGCAUGGGGGACCCGGGAAAGCUCCGGCGGAGAGGGAUGGGCCCGCGGCCUGUUAGCUUGUUGGUGGGGCAACGGCCCACCAAGGCAAUUAUGGGUAGCUGGGUUGAGAGACCGACCAGCCAGAUUGGGACUGAGACACGGCCCAGACUCCUACGGGAGGCAGCAGUGGGGAAUCUUGCACAAUGGGCGAAAGCCUGAUGCAGCGACGCCGCGUGCGGGAUGAAGGCCUUCGGGUUGUAAACCGCUUUCAGCAGGGACGAGGCCGCAAGGUGACGGUACCUGCAGAAGAAGCCCCGGCUAACUACGUGCCAGCAGCCGCGGUAAUACGUAGGGGGCAAGCGUUAUCCGGAUUCAUUGGGCGUAAAGAGCUCGUAGGCGGCCCGUUAGGUCAGGAGUCAAAUUCGGGGGCUCAACCCCCGCGCGCUCCUGAUACCGGCGGGCUUG